Molecule: ribosomal RNA, 522 nt
Filed under: Limosilactobacillus fermentum
Lineage: Bacteria; Bacillati; Bacillota; Bacilli; Lactobacillales; Lactobacillaceae
Description: bacterial SSU rRNA
Rfam family: Bacterial small subunit ribosomal RNA
Source: RNAcentral
CAACGAGUGGCGGACGGGUGAGUAACACGUAGGUAACCUGCCCAGAAGCGGGGGACAACAUUUGGAAACAGAUGCUAAUACCGCAUAACAACGUUGUUCGCAUGAACAACGCUUAAAAGAUGGCUUCUCGCUAUCACUUCUGGAUGGACCUGCGGUGCAUUAGCUUGUUGGUGGGGUAACGGCCUACCAAGGCGAUGAUGCAUAGCCGAGUUGAGAGACUGAUCGGCCACAAUGGGACUGAGACACGGCCCAUACUCCUACGGGAGGCAGCAGUAGGGAAUCUUCCACAAUGGGCGCAAGCCUGAUGGAGCAACACCGCGUGAGUGAAGAAGGGUUUCGGCUCGUAAAGCUCUGUUGUUAAAGAAGAACACGUAUGAGAGUAACUGUUCAUACGUUGACGGUAUUUAACCAGAAAGUCACGGCUAACUACGUGCCAGCAGCCGCGGUAAUACGUAGGUGGCAAGCGUUAUCCGGAUUUAUUGGGCGUAAAGAGAGUGCAGGCGGUUUUCUAAGUCUGAUGUG